This is a long non-coding RNA of Acinonyx jubatus (cheetah), 783 nucleotides long. RefSeq lists it as uncharacterized. NCBI's taxonomy places the organism in Eukaryota, Metazoa, Chordata, Mammalia, Carnivora, Felidae. The record is from RefSeq and is a predicted model, not a curated record. The transcript has 6 exons.
UUCGCCGCACCCUUCUUGCAGCGGGAGCCGCUUCAAGCCCAGGGCCUUGAGAGAGCAGUGUAUUGUUGAGGCCCCCUGGGCACAUACGUAGGGCAGAAUCCAGUUGAGGUAGCUUCAUGAACCUGUAAGUUGCUGGCGGCGCGCGCGUGGAGAUCUCGUCUCCACGAGAUCAGCCUCAGGAGUAAGUUCCCUCCCUUGCUCCUCCUGCCACCUACCGGUCCGGCCGGCUGCCUCUUUCUUCCGUGUUUCCGCGGCCUCGGUGGAGGCGAGUUUCAGAUUCCAGCGGGAGAGCGCCCAGGGCUGCGAAGCAAUAGAGCAAAGAGCAGAAUCCUGUCCCCAAGGCUGGUGGCAAAUGACCAGCCCUAGGGAAGAAUCUAGGGAAGUCACACCAUUUUGUCUCUACUUGGAGCACUGGAACUUAUGCUACUCAGUUCUACCAAAGUGGAGAGAAAAGAGUACCCUGGCUGCCAGAGUUUCCCAUGAGAUCAUAUUGGGAUGGACUAAGUUGUUUAGGCUCUGCUGAAGAGAGCUGUCUUACCCAAAGCUGUACCCUCUUUCCAGGACAGCCAGCUUCCAGUGACUGGUAGUUAUAAGGAGCUUUUAAGUACAGGAAGUAAACAGAGCACAUCAAGAAGUCAAGACGUUUUAACUGCAUUUAUUUAGAAGUUUUAAGGGAUCACACCCGAGAAGUGAAAGAGGAUACCUGGUGAUCUUCAGAGGGACUCUUUUUGAUAGGCUGUCCAGUUGCUUAGAAGAGGAGAGAGGAUCUCCUCCAAACCAGAG